Long non-coding RNA from Lagopus muta (rock ptarmigan), 1736 nucleotides. RefSeq lists it as uncharacterized. The transcript has 3 exons. Lineage: Eukaryota; Metazoa; Chordata; Aves; Galliformes; Phasianidae. The record is from RefSeq and is a predicted model, not a curated record.
CAAGCACACACAGUGGGGGCUGCAGAAAGCAGCAGCACCUGAGCCCUGAAAACCAGUGUGAGGGGCUGUGACUGUGUACACUGGGAAGUUCUUGGCUGCCAGCUGGAUAAGCCAUGAGAGGGAGGGGAUGCUGGAGCAAGGAGGGAAAGUAAAUACAAAAAAGCCUGGAGACUGCUGGCCAUGCUUGUGAUCUCUGCUCCAGUGAAGCAUCAUGCUGGGACUAAAGAUGGUCUGGGAGCCCAACUGCUGGAGCUGAGCACUCACAACAAAGGAAAUGAAACAAUCGGCCUCACUGGGAUGUCAGCCUGUUUGCCUUUCUGGCCUCUGUGAAGUGCUCCUGUGUGGCUGCAGUUGAGGUUCCCAGAAACAAAGCAGAAGGCUUCCAUGGAAAGCAGCUUUUCUUAGGUUUGGAAAAAAUGCAAGAACAAUCAGCCAGUAUUCCUACUCUGGCCUUUUUAAAAACAAAAAUAAAUAUUCUGCUGGCCAGGUCAGUUAAUUACCAUCCUGUAAUGACCUAGCAUGCAAUUUAAGUACAUCUUGGCAUUGCUUCAGAUGUGCACAUUUGGUUUCCUGUCCCCUCUCCCUCCUCACUCUGUGGAUAUGUGUGCGUGCGUGUAUUGUGUUUGUACUCCAUCUGAGCAUGGAAAAUUCAGCAGAGAAAAAAGCCCAAGCUAUAAAAUACUGUUGUUGUCCAUAACACUUUUUCUCAUAACAGCUUUUAACAGCAUUUAGCACUUCGUCGAUUUGGAGCAGUGCACGAGCAGGAACUCAUAAAUCUCGGCGGCCCUGGGAAGGGGCAGAGUGCCAGCAGCUCCUGCGAGGUGACCCCCCAAGGCUGCGGGAUGCUGCUGGCAGUGCUGCUCCACGCUCAGAUCAUGGUGCUGGACUCUGGCUGCUGAUGGCUGGAUUGGGCCACAGCAAUUAUUGUGCUGUCUUGUAAUUUUUUAUUAUGUCCCACACAGCUAAGGCUUUUCUACAGAUAACCUUUCUGCUCCAAUUAGGGCCUCUGUGAAGAGAACUAAUGACUGCUGAUCCAGACUGUUCAUCACAUCUGAAGCUUCAGCCCAUGGAGAUGAAUUAAGUCAGUAUCGGUGAGGCUGAAAAGAUUUUCUUUUCUUUCAUCACAAACAAUGAAAAAAAAUAGGACCCCUGCAGGUGAGAAUGAAGAUCACCCCACAUGCACAGCCCCACUGACCGCCUUCGCUCCCAGCAGUAUUCAGGUCAUGUUCUGCCACCAAGGUGAGCGUGAGCCUGGGGCCACCUGCCCCACCUCCCGCCCCAGCCCUGCUGGGUCUCAUCUGGCUCCAGUCACAACACCUCUGCUAUUGCUGCAGCAUGGCCCUGCCUGCAGGGCACCUCCUCUUUGCUGCAAGCCUUGUGUUCAGCACCAUAGAAUCAAAGAACUCAUUAGUGGGAAGGGAUCUUAAGACCCCAGCCCCACCCCUGCGUGUUCUGGCUGCCUUCUGUCAGCGCAGGCUACCCACAGCUCCAUCCAUGACCUCGUGCACCUCCAGAGAUGGGUCACCCACAGCUCUGGGCAGCCUGUGCCAAAGUGACAGCAGCAGCCCCAUCUCUCUGUUAGUGGGCAGUCUUUGCAAGGUCAAGCAUUGUAAUACAGACAGCAAACAGAGUAAGUAAGCACCUGGUUGCCCUGUGCUGCUGCCAGAAGCAGCAUGUGGCCAGGCACUGCCCCAGCACCACAUGGUGCAGCACAGCCAUGCCCACGGCCAGAGAGU